UAGCGGAGAAAUUCCAAUCGAACUCGGAGAUAGCUGGUUCUCCCCGAAAUAGCUUUAGGGCUAGCCUCAUAUUAGAUACCCGGAGGUAAAGCACUGAAUGGCCUAGCGCCCGAGAGGGUAGCGAAGCCUAUCAAACUAAGAAUGCCGGAGUAUUGAUGUAUGGGAGUCAGACAGUGUGAGAUAAAUCUCAUUGUCAAAAGGGAAACAGCCCAGAUCUACAGCUAAGGUCCCAAAUUGUAUCUAAGUGGAAAACGAUGUGGAAAUACGCAGACAACCAGGAUGUUGGCUCAGAAGCAGCCACUCAUUUAAAGAGUGCGUAAUAGCUCACUGGUCGAGCGUCUCUGCGCGGAAAAUUUAACGGGGCUAAGAUACAAACCGAAGCUUAGGCUGCACGUAAGUGCGGGGUAGGGGAGCGUUGUGUAAGCGGAGAAACAGUAGCGUAAGCGGCUGUGGAGUUUACAGAAGUGAGAAUGCCGGAAUGAGUAGCGCGAAUGUGGUGAGAAUCCACAUGGCCGGAAACCUCAGGUUUUUGGAGGAAGGUUCGUCCGCUCCAAGUUAGGCGGGAGCUAAGGUCAGGCCGAAAGGCGUAGCCGAUGCACAGACGGUAGAGAUUCCGUCCCCACCGAAAGAUUUAAGCACAGGGACACUUUUUGAAGGUCGGAGCCAGGUGUUGGUUCUGGUAGUGAUCGAGGGAAAUAUAGUACCGAAGUCCGGCUGGAAGAGAGGCGAGAAAAGCUGUGUGUAUAUCUAAGGUGCCCGUACCGCAAACCGACACAGGUAGGUAGGAAGAAGAUUCUAAGGCCAACGGGAGAAGGGUUGUUAAGGAACUCGGCAAAUUGACCCCGUAACUUCGGGAGAAGGGGUGCUCCAGAGAUGGAGCCGCAGAGAAUCGGCCCAAGCAACUGUUUACCAAAAACACAGGUUUGUGCUAAAUCGAAAGAUGACGUAUACGAGCUGACGCCUGCCCGGUGCUGGAAGGUUAAAAGGAGAUGUGCAAGCAUUGAAUUGAAGCCCCAGUGAACGGCGGCCGUAACUAUAACGGUCCUAAGGUAGCGAAAUUCCUUGUCAGGUAAGUUCUGACCCGCAUGAAAGGCGUAAUGAUUUGGGCACUGUCUCAACAGCCCGCCCGGCGAAAUUGUAGUACCGGUGAAGAUGCCGGUUACCCGCGACAAGACGGAAAGACCCCAUGGAGCUUUACUGUAGCCUGAUAUUGGGUUUCGGUGUUGCAUGCACAGGAUAGAUGGGACGCUGGGAAAGAAGCGCUUUGGCGUUUCUGGAGCGGACGUUGGGAUACCAUCCUUGCGACAUUGGAAUUCUAACCUGCGCCUCUGAAUCGAGGCGGGGGACAUUGUCAGGUGGGCAGUUUGACUGGGGCGGUCGCCUCCUAAAAAGUAGCGGAGGCGUUCAAAGGUUCGUUCGAUCUGGACGGAAACCAGAUGAUUGAGUGCAAACGCAUAAACGAGCCUGACUGCGAGACUGACGGGUCGAGCAGAGACGAAAGUCGGAGUUAGUGAUCCGGUGGUAUGUGAGUGGAAAUGCCAUCGCUCAACGGAUAAAAGUUACCCUGGGGAUAACAGGCUGAUCUCCCCCAAGAGUCCACAUCGACGGGGAGGUUUGGCACCUCGAUGUCGGCUCAUCGCAUCCUGGGGCUGAAUUCGGUCCCAAGGGUUUGGCUGUUCGCCAAUUAAAGCGGUACGCGAGCUGGGUUCAGAACGUCGUGAGACAGUUCGGUCCCUAUCUGUCGUGGGCGCAGGAUAUUUGAAAGGCGCUGUCCCUAGUACGAGAGGACCGGGAUGGACGAACCUCUGGUGCACCAGUUGUCACGCCAGUGGCACAGCUGGGCAGCUAUGUUCGGAUCGGAUAAACGCUGAAAGCAUCUAAGCGUGAAGCCGGCCUUAAGAUAAGAUAUCCCACUGAGUCAAUCAGGUAAGACCCCUUGAAGACUACAAGGUUGAUAGGCACACAGUGUAAGCGGAGUGAUCCGUUCAGCUAGCGUGUACUAAUAGGUCGAGGGCUUGACCCC
Molecule: ribosomal RNA, 2023 nt
Filed under: human gut metagenome
Description: bacterial LSU rRNA
Rfam family: Bacterial large subunit ribosomal RNA
Source: RNAcentral